This 301-nucleotide ribosomal RNA is filed under the name uncultured bacterium. RNAcentral's name for it is "partial 16S ribosomal RNA". It matches the Rfam family "Bacterial small subunit ribosomal RNA", at positions 509 to 807 of the family's 1533-position model. The record is from RNAcentral.
CAGCCGCCGCGGUAAGACAGAGGAUGCAAGCGUUAUCCGGAAUUAUUGGGCGUAAAGGGCUCGCAGGCGGUUUCUUAAGUCUGAUGUGAAAGCCCCCGGCUCAACCGGGGAGGGUCAUUGGAAACUGGGAAACUUGAGUGCAGAAGAGGAGAGUGGAAUUCCACGUGUAGCGGUGAAAUGCGUAGAGAUGUGGAGGAACACCAGUGGCGAAGGCGACUCUCUGGUCUGUAACUGACGCUGAGGAGCGAAAGCGUGGGGAGCGAACAGGAUUAGAUACCCGCGUAGUCCCUGUCUCUUAUAC